GGCAGGCAAGGACAUGGCGAGUUGUCCGCGGUGGUGGCGCGGGCCGGCGUGCGCGUGCGACCGGCGCUGCUUGCCG
This 76-nucleotide transfer RNA is filed under the name Candidatus Accumulibacter sp. SK-11. RNAcentral describes it as "tRNA-Thr". The record is from RNAcentral. Lineage: Bacteria; Pseudomonadati; Pseudomonadota; Betaproteobacteria.